GACUGAUUUCAUAUGGGAUUAAGUCAGAGAAUGAAUUAUGGGAGAGAUUAAGAUGGGUCAAACUCACUAAUUGAUUAAAUAACUCUGAUGAGAUAGAGCCAUUGAAAUCGUUAAAAGCAAGGUUGAGUUGUUGGAGUCCUUGAAGGUGGAAGAGGCUGCUGUUUGCAGGGAGAGUACCGUUAAGGCAGCUGGCACUGAGGUCGAUGGCAAUGACCUGACCCGUCACCAUGUGGCAACUGACUCCAUCCCAUGAACAACAAUCCGUGCUUUCAUUCCAAGAAUUUGUCGUAGGGUAAGAAGAAGCUAGCCAACAAUCAUCCAGAGAAAUGGUGUUUUUGAAUUCGAGCAAGGCAGCUCUUUGUUCUGGGAGGCAUAAAUGAGCUGAAUCAAGAAAAGAGGAAGGGGAACUCAAUGAACAAUGGACGUGGAAAUGCAAGAGUGCUAAAAGCAGGCAAAGGAUUCGAAAAAACAUCUUAACUACCUUUCCCAUAUUUUCUAGAGAAAAAGGAAGUUAUGAAACAAGGGUAGUCGAAAAAGGGCAAGCUAGGGAGGUGAAACUGAAAAUGAGUUGGGGUUGAGGUCGAGGGACAUUUUAAAUGAAGUACCUGAGAAGUGGAGACAUCUCCUUUUCAAGUCAACCAACAAGUCUUUGCAAAAUCUCUUAAAUUGUCAAAAUUAAAUUAAAAGGAAAAAAAAGAAAAAUUGUAUGUGCCGUGUUAGAAUGAAAAGCAUUAAGGCCACUGUGUCCAAUCCCACCUGAGACGUUAAUAGGAUUUGCAUAUUUUUCUUGAUUUCUCAUUUGAUGUAUACUUUUAUUUUAUGCUCUUUGGGAUAUGCUUAUUAGAUUCAAAUCUCAGUAGAGACACAAAACUAAUUCAUCUUAGAAUUGCAACUCAUUCCUGUAUAACUCACUUGAUGUGAUAAUAAAUAAAAAAUUAUUAAAUAAAGGAAUUCUUUAUUGUAGAUUACAGCUAAUUCACGUCUUUGUCAAAGAAAUUAUAAAAAUUUUCACAUUUUGGGAUCAUCAUCAGAAGUUAAAGAUAACUUUUUCUUUUCAUUUUUUUUCCAAAAAAAAGAGAGAUAGGUCAAAAGUAAGAAUUCAUGUCAAAAAACAAGCCGUGUGUGAGGGUAAAAAACCAUCUAAAAUCAAAUAUUAAACUAAUGAAUUCACCAUUUGAACAACAAUUUACCUAUAACUCAUUUCAACCUAAUAACUUUAGAUCCAAUUGAUGUUAACAUGAGAAGACUCCUAUAAGUUUACAUGAAAAUCUAUAAAACACACCAAAUUAUGUUUAUUUCACUUUGCACUUUCUACAACUGUAUCAUCCAUUGAAGGUAAAAUUAAAAAACUGAACACAUAAAUAAAUCCAGCAUUCAACAAAUACAUCAAGUUAAGCAAACGCAUAAAAGCAAUCAUUUUUGAAGAAUUAAAAAUAAAAAUGAAACUUAUUUAGAUAAUGAAAUGCAUAAUUCUACUUUUAUAUGAAGUAACUAAUUAUUCCAGUCAUUGUUCAUUUAAUCAAUUACAUAAUUUUGCUUCAAAGCAACCUUUCAAGCAACAGCAAUAACAACCAACCCAAACGCAAAACAGAUAAAAAGAAAAGAAAAACUGAAAUGAAAAAUUACCUGUCUAUGAAUCAAAUCACCACGCAAAGAGUAAACCAAGAUGAAAGGAAAGUGGUGCUGGCGUUGGCGAUGAGGAUAAGAGAUCGGUUAGCGAAGGCAAGGCAGUGAGCGUCGAGAGCACAGAGGAGAGUGGUGCUGGCGUUGGGUGGCGAGCCAUCCUUCCUUGCCAGCGCCGAACUCGGACAAGUCUUCGCAGGUGAUGCGGCCGAGAUCCAUCAAGUGACGAUGGCUUCGCUUCGACAUUGCGUAGGGCAACUGAGAUUACGGAUUAGAAAGGAAAGAAUUUUGUACAUGAAAGGAAAGUGGUGACUUUGUGGGAUCCACAUGUAGGGUUGGGAAGAAAAUUCAAAAAAUUAAUUAAAAAUAAAAAUGAAAGCAUUGGAACAUGUUUGAUUAAAGUCGUGCAAAUUACAACAAAAUUUUCAAUACAAAUUCUAAAUUCAGAAAAAAAAAUCUUCAGAACUUGUCUUUUCCACAUAAAACUUCAGAUAAAUGCUGCUGAACAUGAAUAGCAAAUAAUCAACUAAGAACACCUAGAAUUGUUCAAACCACUGCCAUGGAAAAGCCAGAUGCUAGAGAAGCAGGGUCCAUUGGAUUUGGUUCGAAAGCCACCUUGACAAAUAGAAAAAAGAAAACCAAAGGAAAAUCAAUUAUAGAUUACAAAAGCAAUGAGAACUUUGUUAUUUUUCUACUUUGACAAAAAAACUCACCUAUGCAUGAUCUGGAUGUAGUGCUAGUUUCUUCUUCCUCUGUUUCUACCAACCCACUUUGUAACAUUGUUUUGCCAAUCUCUCUCAACCAUUCUGAUAAACCACCAUGGUCUUCCUGUUGUGAAUACAAUGUAUCCCAUGCUCAAUCCUAACACCACUCCACAUCCAUAGCCCAUCAUUACAACUUUCCAAAUAAAGGCUAUUUCAGAACCUUCAUCUUCCUUAAGCAUUGGUACAGUUGGUUUUGGUUCUUCAUCAUUGCCGCAUUGCUUUGACAGUGGGAAGCCGCACAGUCCCAAGUUAUUGCUAUAAGAAUCGUUCUCAAAAGUACCAAAUUGAUUCCCAUGAGGAAUUGGCCCGACAAGAUAAUUUUUUGAAAGAUUUAACACUUCAAGGAAUGUCAGAUUCGUCAUUUGGGAAGGAAUUCUGCCACCAAGCUUGUUUGACGAGAGAUCUAACGAUUCAAGUGCUACCAUAUUUCCGAAAGAUGGUGGGAUAGGACCAGUCAAGUUGUUGUUGGACAAGUUGAGCGUUUGGAGCAAAAUAAGUUCUCCGAGUUCCUUAGGAAUUUGUCCACAAAAUAAAUUGUUCGAUAAGUCUAUGGACGUGAAACUGGUUAGGGUUUCUGCCAACUCCAUCUCCAAUUUUUUUGUUGUUACAUUCACAGAAGCUUUCUUAGAAUCACCCAUACAAUAUUUGCAGCCGCGAUCUUUCAUUGCUCUCAAAGUUUUGAAGAAUUUUGUUGGCAAGGGGCCGGUGAGCUCAUUAUGAGAGAGAUCAAUUAUUUGCAAUGCCGAGAAGUUAGAUGAAGCUAUGGAGUUGGGCAUGGGACCAUGCAAUCUAUUAGAUCGCAAAAUAAGAACUCGCAGCCAAGGAAGUGAAGCUAACCAAUGGGGAAAGGCAUCAGCGAACUUGUUGUUCCUUAAAUUCAAAAUUCUCAAGGAACUACAAUUAGCCAAAGAUCGUGGCAGUAAUCCUUCCAAUUGGUUGUCAUUAAGGAAAAGAUAUCUCAACUGACCAUUUGUAAAAGAAUCAGGGACUUUGCCAUAAAAAUUAUUCAUCUCCAAAUUCAUGAACUCGAGACGAAAGCUGAAAUUUCCAAGAUAAUUUGGAAUGGUUCCAGUCAAGUUAUUUCUAGACAAGUCAAGAAACACAAGUGAACUUUGAUUGCAAAUCAAAGGAUUUGAAAGAAUUGGCCCUUGAAGCAAGUUUGAUCGAAGGUCAAGAAUAUGAAGAUUCUUUCCUGGGAAUUGUUCCAAAGUGGUCAGAAAAUUGUAAGAAAGGUACAACUCGAGCAAGCUUUCCCACCCUUCUGCUUCCCGUUUGGAAAUUCCACCAUAAAUCUUGUUAUUGGAAAGAUCUAAAAUCUCCAAAUUUGAUGUUCGAAAGAAACUUGGGAAUUGUGUUAUGCUACAAGAAGAGAAUGACACAUUACAAAGCUGAGGGAAGGAAUAGUUAACAUCAUUUUCGCUUGCGCUUAAUGAUAGUAAACUAUUAUUUGAAAGAACAAGAUGGGUAAGAUUUUUGAGUUUUGCAAGCAUAUUUGACUUGAUGACACCACUCAAGUUGUUUGAGGAAAGAUCAAGCCUUUCAAGGCUCACAAGAUCAAAAAAAGAAUUGGGUAUUGAUCCAUGAAUGUCAUUAGAACUCAAAUAAAUAUGUUUUAGAGAAUUAGGCUUCUGAAUUUGGUUGAUUGAGCCGGUGAGUUUGUUAUGGCUGAGUCCUAAAUAUUUCAAAGAUGGCAAAGUAAACAGCCAAGAUGGUAGUCCACCACUUAUAAGGUUACCGGAUAAGAGAAUUUCUUCUAGCAAUCGAAGCUCACUAACAUGAUUUGGCAGGGGACCUUCUAAUCGAUUAUGUGACAAAUCUAGUUGGGUGAGUUGUGUGAGAUUGAACAUAGUUGUUGGAAGUUGACCACUAAAAUUGCAGCAAGAAAAUGACAAAAAAGUCAAUUUAUUAAGGUUUCCAAAAGCAUCUGGAAUCUGUCCUCCAAAAUCAUUUUCAGAAAAAUCUAAGUGGAUGAUUUGACUGAGAUUUCCAAUUGAUGCAGGAAUUGACCCUCUAAAACUGCAAAAGGAAAGGUCCAACAACUUAAGGCCACUACUCAAGUUUGACUUAGGGAAAUAAUCUGUAAGAUUUCUGUUACUACUUAAAUCCAUGUGCUGGAGGUAUGGGAGGCGAAAAAUUUCACUUGGAAAUUCCCCAUGCAGUUCACACGCUCCGAGACUCAAACGUUCCAGAGAUGAAGUCAAGUUCAAAAAGGAAGGAAGUGCAACAUCAGACAUAUCUACAGAGUCAAGGAUAAGGUUUCUUAAUUCAGUUAAGUUGCAUGCAAGCAUGUCAAAACCUUGACUAUCAAAUCUCAAAUCGUGAUAACCAUUAUUGGAAAGAUCGAGUGAAACCAAUUUUGACAGGAGACUGAUAUCAUAUGGGAUUAAGUCAGAGAAUGAAUUAUGGGAGAGAUUAAGAUGGGUCAAACUCACUAAUUGAUUAAAUAACUCUGAUGAGAUAGAGCCAUUGAAAUCGUUGAAAGCAAGGUUGAGUUGUUGGAGUCCUUGACGGUGGAAGAGGCUGCUGUUUUCAAGAAAAGAGCCAUGAAGGUUGUUGGAACUAAGAUCGAGCCAUUGAAGUCUUUGAAGGUGAAAGAGGCUGCUGUUCGCAGGGAGAGUGCCGUUAAGGCAACUGUUACUAAGGUCGAUGCCAAUGACAUGACCCGUCACCAUGUGGCAACUGACUCCAUCCCAUGAACAGCAAUCCGUGCUUUCAUUCCAAGAAUUUGUUGUAG
This 5121-nucleotide long non-coding RNA is filed under the name Theobroma cacao (cacao). RNAcentral describes it as "long non-coding RNA (TCAC_LNC004289)". The record is from RNAcentral. Lineage: Eukaryota; Viridiplantae; Streptophyta; Magnoliopsida; Malvales; Malvaceae.